UUUAGGUCCUGGUGGGAAGGAAGGCUCAGCACCCCUUUAUAUGUGUUUCUGUGCGUAGAAAUGCACUUGAUCACCAAUUUGCACUAUUUAAUACAAGCAUCUUUUAAGUCCUGUUCUAGGCGGAUUUAUGAUGAGAUUCAGGGUAAUAUAUGGCAGAAAAAUUCUGGCGUUAUGGCCUCAUUUUUUUAAAAAACUACUCCCUCAGUCUCACUUCUAUUUAUAACCACCAUGUUGAUGACACGAAAAAUGAUUCAAUAUUUUAAUUCAUAAGAAGGAUUGAAAGUCCUCUACAUCUUGCAGUAAAACUGUGCCUAAAUUAUCAUGAGAAUUAAUCUCGUUAAAAGAAGUUAUUGCCUUACCUGUGCUUAAUUCUGUGUGGGGAGAGCACUAUUGAAUAGAGUAAGGUCAUCCUUAGAAGUUUGGACCAACCAUUUACAGGUCACAUAACACAUUGAGUGUAUGUGUAAAAAGGCCAUCUGAUCCAAUCAAGAGAACUCAACUGAUGACUUUACACUAUAGACCAGUCAGUGUGGGUGUUUUAACCACUAGGUCAAUAAAUAGGUGUCCAAGCGUUCUUACUAUAUAUAAAGAGAAAGAAAUUGUAUUGCCGAACAAUCAAAAUGACCUCAGUCAAAUCCCCUGCUUACACAUAGCUUUAGUCUAGUCCCUCAGGAAAGUUCAACAGAAGAUAUAAUCAUGUUCCUUUCCACAUUUUGUUCUUCUCUAUUCCAUGCUAAAUUUUACACAUUUUCCAGAAUUCUAACCUAAAUCUUAUGAAACUCACCUUGAUGUUUACCCUCUCCCAUUGCUUGUACCUUACUUCUCUUGGCAUCAGAAAUGAAACUUCUGGGUUUCAAAACUGUGUGAUCAAAGUCUUUGAAUAGGGGACUCAUCUACUAAGUACAUGGAAGAAUUUUUUCUAUUGUACAAAAACUAGACUUAAGGAGCUAUAGUUUCACUUUUAAAGUUAGAUGAAAAAACAAAUAUGUUUUGCGUUAAUUAAUUUAAAGACCUGUUCUGCUUGUGUAAAAUUGCUGAUCCAUAUUGACCUUAAUUUUUUUCUAAUAUAUUGGAAUUUUGCACAUGUGCACCAUUUUCCUGUCCAUCCUCAGAUUCGUUUCAUAUGUCACUUGCCUUGAAGUGAGAUCCGUUUUGGAAGUUGGAGUGAGAGGGGCAAGUGGAGCUGCUCUUGAGCCCAUUCCAAAUUCUUGUCUCUCUCUGUAACCAGGAUGUUCCCUUUUGGAAUCCAGCCACCAUACUUUAAAGAAGUUUAGACUAUCCUGCUAGAGAGAGAGGCCUCAUGAAGGAGAACUGAGGCACCCCAGCUACCUGCUGAAUUCAG
Molecule: long non-coding RNA, 1342 nt
Filed under: Equus caballus (horse)
Lineage: Eukaryota; Metazoa; Chordata; Mammalia; Perissodactyla; Equidae
Description: lncRNA (ENSECAG00000046371.1)
Source: RNAcentral